AGAAAAUAUUCAUGAAUUUUAGGAAAAUGUUUAUGAAUGUGAAAAAUGUGCAUGGAUUUAGGAAGAUGGUCAAGCAGUCCAGUCUUUUCAUCGGAACUUUCCUGCUUCAUAAGGGAUGGCCCAAAGGAGGUUGCACGCUCCAUCAAUAGGUUUUAAAAUAGGAUUAGACAUCUUUGACUGUUCUUGUAUGGUGGGCUUCGGUUUGCAAGAAGGAAAAAUAGAGAUUGUGCUCAGACAUAAAUUUUGUGAAUAUUUCUACCCAUACAUAUUUUACCCAAACACACGACAUGUACCUUUUCUAGAUAACAAUAAAAACAUGCUGAAUUGUUACAUUCAUUUAAUAUUGGCCCCAAAACCAGCCAUAUGUGUAUAAGACGCCACACAUCGCCACAUGGGUAACAAUAUGCAUAAAUCCAAACCGUGACACCUAUUUGACUCCUCCCACCAUAACCCUAGAACGAAGCUCUCAACAUCCUUCCGCCGCCACACCUCAUAGUUGUCAUAAUCCUCACGAGGUUAGAACUCUAGUAGCGCAAAUCUGCAGAUCUACAAAUCACCCUAGGACAGGGUGGGGAGUCCUUUGAAAGUGGAGACCAUCCAAGAUGACCAUGGAUGCAUCUGAGAUGUGUUACAUUGACCUCCUCCACACCAAGACAUCCUCGCAAACAUCUUCUCAUGCCUCUCAGAUCCGACAAGCAUCGCCCACUGUAUGCUCGCCUGCAAAACAUGGUCCCAUUUGAUCAUUGACCGUGGCAUCCUUCGCCGUCACCGGCCACCUAUGCUCUGUGGCGUUUUUCAAGAGGAAGUCUCACCAGAAGAUCCAGCUAUUCGCUCCAUGCUCUUUACUCCCAUCGACCAGAUUGCAUCGCCCGAACUCGCUGAGAAAACCAACAACAUCCAAGCGAACCUUCCACUCUCUCUACCCAGUGGCCCGUGGUCCAUCGUGGACUCCUCAGAGAUCUUUUUCCUCCUUUGCCAUGAACGACGCAUCAUUCACGAGCCGGUCAUGCUGGUCUUCGCGGUAUACAACCCUAUCACCCAUGAAUUGCAGGAACUCCCUCCGGCAGCAAACAACCAGUAUCGCUUAUUCUUCGGCGCUGCCAUCUUGAAUGAUGAUGCAGUAGCUGCCAGUAUAGGCGUUUGCUCAGACCUGGAGCCUCAGAUAUGUCGUUCAAGGUGGUGUGGGUGGCGGUGGUGCCUGGUGACCACCAUGGUGAGUGGAUCUACCAGACAUUUGUGCACUCGGGUGGCGCCGCCGGUGACAGCAGCUGGAGCACCCUACCUUAUCAGGCCAGCAGUAUGAGGCCCCACGGCUGGUGCAUUGGUGGUACUCAUGGUCUACAUGCAGCUCGGGUUGGCACCGUGCUGUUCAAGAGUAUUGGACCCAUGCACAUGACGGAUCUCAUGAUGACGUUGAUGCUGGAUAUGCGCACAGGGGGGACUUCGCUGUUGGUGACACCGAAGUGUGGCGUGUUCGUGGAUUAUGGCAGGGGAGACGACGAGAAGUUGUGGUUCGUGUGCAUAAAUAAAUUCCUAGUGCUCCGGCUCUACAGCCUCCCGAAGCCGCCAAAGGGCAGUACUACGCGUCUCUUCAAACAGUGCAGCCUGGAAAGAGAGGUCGAGCUACAGCCGAUCAUCACGGGGCUGGUGGCCGAUGUCGACGCGGCCGACAUCUCCAUGGGUACGUCUUCUUCAAGAUGGACAAGUACGACUAUUUUGCAGUGCAUCUCCGGAGUUGUCUCUAUCCCUUCAUGUGUCGUGAGGAUUCGUAAUUUUGUUGUUGUGAUCUGCAGACUGCACGCAUCAUUCUGGAGUUUGAUGGAGUGCAGGGCAAGAUUUACCUGUAUCCAAAUUGUUUGUUUGUUACACCAUCGAAUUGUUCGUUUGUUACAUGUCAUGGAAGAAACGGGAUCUGCUGCUUGAUAACUUUAUAUUAGUUUCACAAUGCACCCCAUGUGUAUUAUUUUGGUUUAUCAUGAGAUUUUGCAGUA
Molecule: long non-coding RNA, 1991 nt
Organism: Aegilops tauschii subsp. strangulata
Lineage: Eukaryota; Viridiplantae; Streptophyta; Magnoliopsida; Poales; Poaceae
Source: RefSeq, a predicted model, not a curated record